GCGAAUGUGGUGGAAUAGGUAGACACGCCUGCUUUAGGAGCAGGUGCCCCCGGGCGUGUGGGUUCGAGUCCCUCCAUUCGCA
RNAcentral lists this transfer RNA (82 nucleotides) under Candidatus Amphirhobacter heronislandensis. RNAcentral's name for it is "Betaproteobacteria bacterium AqS2 tRNA". It matches the Rfam family "tRNA". From Rfam's summary of the family: Transfer RNA (tRNA) molecules are approximately 80 nucleotides in length. Their secondary structure includes four short double-helical elements and three loops (D, anti-codon, and T loops). Lineage: Bacteria; Pseudomonadati; Pseudomonadota; Gammaproteobacteria; Candidatus Tethybacterales; Candidatus Tethybacteraceae. The record is from Rfam by way of RNAcentral.